This 510-nucleotide ribosomal RNA is filed under the name uncultured bacterium. Its description in RNAcentral is "partial 16S ribosomal RNA". It matches the Rfam family "Bacterial small subunit ribosomal RNA", at positions 28 to 507 of the family's 1533-position model. The record is from RNAcentral.
GACGAACGCUGGCGGCGUGCUUAACACAUGCAAGUCGAACGAAGAGCGAUGGAAGCUUGCUUCUAUCACUCUUAGUGGCGACCGGGUGAGUAACGCGUAAUCAACCUGCCCUUCAGAGGGGGACAACAGUUGGAAACGACUGCUAAUACCGCAUACGAUCUAAUCUCGGCAUCGAGGAUAGAUGAAAGGUGGCCUCUACAUGUAAGCUAUCACUGAAGGAGGGGAUUGCGUCUGAUUAGCUAGUUGGAGGGGUAACGGCCCACCAAGGCGAUGAUCAGUAGCCGGUCUGAGAGGAUGAACGGCCACAUUGGGACUGAGACACGGCCCAGACUCCUACGGGAGGCAGCAGUGGGGAAUCUUCCGCAAUGGACGAAAGUCUGACGAAGCAACGCCGCGUGAGUGAUGACGGCCUUCGGGUUGUAAAGCUCUGUUAAUCGGGACGAAAGGCCUUCUUGCGAAUAGUGAGAAGGAUUGACGGUACCGGAAUAGAAAGCCACGGCUAACUACGUG